GAGUUUGAUCUUGGCUCAGAUUGAACGCUGGCGGCAUGCCUUACACAUGCAAGUCGAACGGCAGCAUGAUCUAGCUUGCUAGAUUGAUGGCGAGUGGCGAACGGGUGAGUAAUACAUCGGAACGUGCCCUGUAGUGGGGGAUAACUAGUCGAAAGAUUAGCUAAUACCGCAUACGACCUGAGGGUGAAAGUGGGGGACCGCAAGGCCUCAUGCUAUAGGAGCGGCCGAUGUCUGAUUAGCUAGUUGGUGGGGUAAAGGCCCACCAAGGCGACGAUCAGUAGCUGGUCUGAGAGGACGAUCAGCCACACUGGGACUGAGACACGGCCCAGACUCCUACGGGAGGCAGCAGUGGGGAAUUUUGGACAAUGGGCGAAAGCCUGAUCCAGCAAUGCCGCGUGUGUGAAGAAGGCCUCGGUU
This 417-nucleotide ribosomal RNA is filed under the name uncultured microorganism. RNAcentral describes it as "bacterial SSU rRNA". It matches the Rfam family "Bacterial small subunit ribosomal RNA", at positions 9 to 424 of the family's 1533-position model. The record is from RNAcentral.